AUGCUUUUACUCUUUGGGGAGUUUAACAAUUUUGAGAACAACCGUCUUAUUAGUCGUGGAAAAAGACACAGCAUGAAGACCCAUAGAAGGCAAAUUCCACUGUUUGCCGAGAGACGGAUUUAUAACCAUUGGCUAUGCAUCAAAACCUGGCUUCAUUUUUUUCCUUCUGUCGUUAAUGUAGACAGGGAGCCAGAGAAAAGGUUCUGCAAAGAGGAUGGGGUGAAGAAACAACGUUUCAUUUCAGAAGAGAUCCUGGAUUGGUCUGGAAUCUGCGGGGCCCAGGAAGAGAACACAGGACACUGACCUAAUUUUUUGUCUGCCCCAAAUAUUGCCACAAAAAUAGACAUGGGCAGGAGCAGAAGAGCCAGCUAUGUCCUUGUUAUUUUCACAGUUUGGUCCAGGCCCAGACUGUCCACGAAAGAAAUAAAGUUCCUGUCUUCCUUGAAGAAUCUUUAUGGGUCAACGGCCGGGUUUUAAGGGUAAUCUCCAUUUCCCUCUAGACUGGAUUUUGCUUGAAAUUACCACUUAGAAUUUGACUUUCCACACUGGGCCACGGGAUUUCAGAAAACUGAUAUGGAUAAGCUCAGAGAUGUGAAAUGUCUUUGGGGACACAUUUUUUUAAAAAAGGGUACAAGUGGCCCUCCAGAGCCAAAGUGUGCUGCAUGGAAAGAUGCAAGCAGCCCCUGAUCAAAAAUAGUUCAUAAAAAAAAAAAAAUCCUUGCAUCUCCACUGAACACAGUCCUUUUUUAUAGUCAUUAUUCCCUCAAUAACACGAUGUAGCAACUAUUUCCAUAGCAUUUACAUUGCAUUACGGAUUAUGAAUAAUCUGCGGAUGAUUGGUAGCAUAUGGAAGGAUAUAAGUAGGCAGAUCUGAAAUGCUACUACAUUUUACGUAACAGACUCUAGGGUUUAUGGAUUUCGAUAUAUGAGGAGCCUCCUGGAUCCAGAUCCCCCUGGAUCCUGAAAGGUUCUUAUGUAACUGUCUCGUUACCUUUUCUAUUGAGGUUAUUAGAUUUCUUUCUGAACCAUUACCAGUGGAAAUAUCUGACCCUGAUUUGGUGGUGCGUGCCUGUAUUCAUAGCACACGGGAUGGCUGAGGCAGGAGGACUGCAAGUCUGGCCCAGCCUGGGCAAAUUAGUGACUCAGUCAGACCCUCUCUGAAAAGAAAAAUAUAAUCAAAGGACUAAGGUUGUGGCUCAGUGCAAAGGCCCCGUGUUCCCAUCCCUAGAACCGCAAAGGAAUACAGAACAUAACAACAAGAAUAACAAAAACUUAACAACAAGGAUGGAAAAAACGAAAGGCGAGGCCCCGUGAUCAUUUUUGAACAUGAAAUACUCAUGUUGAAGGAAGAAGAAGUUAUGAAUAAUCCUGCUGAAGAUCUUUUAUUUUUAACGGCUUGUAAUAAAAAGACAAAGAUAAUGAGAAGGUGGACUCAUAAAAACGGAGAAAAAACGAACAGAGUUUUAAAAAAAUUUUUAUUAAGAACAAAGAACUGUCAUGUAAAGGUACAUGAUCCCGAUGAUGAAUGUAACUGUACUGCACCUAAACAGUCCCAGUUAAACUCAAUAAAAAUCAAAGAAAAAAACUAAGUUUAACAUUUCUAAAAAGAAAAAUUUAUUUUCAUAUAACACGAGUAUAUAUUCAUAAAGAAAUAUAAAAGCC
Fukomys damarensis (Damara mole-rat) is the source of this 1662-nucleotide long non-coding RNA. Lineage: Eukaryota; Metazoa; Chordata; Mammalia; Rodentia; Bathyergidae. The record is from Ensembl.